CACGGGGGGAGCAAGCGUUGUUCGGAAUCACUGGGCGUAAAGGGCGUGUAGGCGGUCAAGUAAGUGGAAUGUGAAAGCCCCCGGCUUACCCGGGGAUCUGCAUCCCAAACUGCUUGGCUUGAGUACGGGAGAGGAUAGGGGAAUUCCUGGUGUAGCGGUGAAAUGCGUAGAUAUCGAGAGGAACACCUGCGGCGAAGGCGGGUUGCUGGGCUGACACUGACGCUGAUGCGCGAAAGCCAGGGGAGCGAACGGG
RNAcentral lists this ribosomal RNA (253 nucleotides) under uncultured bacterium. RNAcentral's name for it is "partial 16S ribosomal RNA". It matches the Rfam family "Bacterial small subunit ribosomal RNA", at positions 524 to 776 of the family's 1533-position model. The record is from RNAcentral.